RNAcentral lists this ribosomal RNA (465 nucleotides) under uncultured bacterium. Its description in RNAcentral is "partial 16S ribosomal RNA". It matches the Rfam family "Bacterial small subunit ribosomal RNA", at positions 28 to 507 of the family's 1533-position model. The record is from RNAcentral.
GAUGAACGCUGGCGGCGUGCUUAACACAUGCAAGUCGAACGGAAAGGCUCCUGCUUGCAGGGGUACUCGAGUGGCGAACGGGUGAGUAACACGUGGGUGAUCUGCCCUGCACUUCGGGAUAAGCCUGGGAAACUGGGUCUAAUACCGGAUAGGACGAUGGUUUGGAUGCCAUUGUGGAAAGUUUUUCGGUGUGGGAUGAGCUCGCGGCCUAUCAGCUUGUUGGUGGGGUAAUGGCCUACCAAGGCGUCGACGGGUAGCCGGCCUGAGAGGGUGUACGGCCACAUUGGGACUGAGAUACGGCCCAGACUCCUACGGGAGGCAGCAGUGGGGAAUAUUGCACAAUGGGCGCAAGCCUGAUGCAGCGACGCCGCGUGGGGGAUGACGGCCUUCGGGUUGUAAACUCCAUUCGCUAGGGACGAAGCGCAAGUGACGGUACCUGGAGAAGAAGCACCGGCUAACUACGUG